GCGUCCACCGUGGCUUUAUCCUCCUCCUCUGCAGCAGAUCGCGACGUCGCUUUUUAUCCUUCAUCCAAUGAGGGCUCAACUUCUACAAUGGGGAAACAUGUCUCACUGAAUGCUUAUGAAACUUCAGAUAAGGGGAAAUUCGCGCCAAGAUUUGAUGGGUUGAGGUUCAUAGAGACUCUGGUCACGGCUCAUAGAUGACCUGACAAAGCUCAUAAUCUUUUUGUUUUCUUUGUUGUCAUUUGUUGAUGUUGAGGCAAAACCCCAUUGGUUUAUAAGAUGUGAUUAAAAGAGAGCUGUUGUUGCUUAUUUUUCUUUUGAGUUUAGAAGAACUUGUGUCAUUGAUUUGUGUCAUUUUCAUAGAUUUAGGUUUUUUUUUUUUU
This 380-nucleotide unclassified non-coding RNA is filed under the name Hevea brasiliensis (rubber tree). The record is from RNAcentral. Lineage: Eukaryota; Viridiplantae; Streptophyta; Magnoliopsida; Malpighiales; Euphorbiaceae.